GUGGGGAAUAUUGGACAAUGGGCGCAAGCCUGAUCCAGCCAUGCCGCGUGAGUGAUGAAGGCCCUAGGGUUGUAAAGCUCUUUUGUGCGGGAAGAUAAUGACGGUACCGCAAGAAUAAGCCCCGGCUAACUUCGUGCCAGCAGCCGCGGUAAUACGAAGGGGGCUAGCGUUGCUCGGAAUCACUGGGCGUAAAGGGUGCGUAGGCGGGUCUUUAAGUCAGGGGUGAAAUCCUGGAGCUCAACUCCAGAACUGCCUUUGAUACUGAAGAUCUUGAGUUCGGGAGAGGUGAGUGGAACUGCGAGUGUAGAGGUGAAAUUCGUAGAUAUUCGCAAGAACACCAGUGGCGAAGGCGGCUCACUGGCCCGAUACUGACGCUGAGGCACGAAAGCGUGGGGAGCAAACAGGAUUAGAAACCCCUGUAGUCC
RNAcentral lists this ribosomal RNA (425 nucleotides) under uncultured bacterium. RNAcentral's name for it is "partial 16S ribosomal RNA". It matches the Rfam family "Bacterial small subunit ribosomal RNA", at positions 354 to 796 of the family's 1533-position model. The record is from RNAcentral.